Molecule: ribosomal RNA, 465 nt
Filed under: uncultured Acidobacteriota bacterium
Lineage: Bacteria; Pseudomonadati; Acidobacteriota
Description: bacterial SSU rRNA
Rfam family: Bacterial small subunit ribosomal RNA
Source: RNAcentral
GACGGGGGCCCGCACAAGCGGUGGAGCAUGUGGUUCAAUUCGACGCAACGCGAAGAACCUUACCUGGGCUCGAAAUGCAGUGGACCGGGGUGGAAACAUCCCUUUCCGCAAGGACUGCUGCAUAGGUGCUGCAUGGCUGUCGUCAGCUCGUGUCGUGAGAUGUUGGGUUAAGUCCCGCAACGAGCGCAACCCUUAUUGCCAGUUGCUAACACGUUAUGGUGAGCACUCUGGCGAAACCGCCCCGGAUAACGGGGAGGAAGGUGGGGAUGACGUCAAGUCCUCAUGGCCUUUAUGUCCAGGGCUACACACGUGCUACAAUGGCCGAUACAAACCGUCGCAAACCCGCGAGGGGGAGCUAAUCGGAAAAAGUCGGCCCCAGUUCGGAUUGUACCCAGCGACGAGACUACAUGAAGCUGGAAUCGCUAGUAAUCGCGGAUCAGCACGCCGCGGUGAAUACGUUCCCGG